Molecule: long non-coding RNA, 4188 nt
Organism: Equus quagga
Lineage: Eukaryota; Metazoa; Chordata; Mammalia; Perissodactyla; Equidae
Exons: 4
Source: RefSeq, a predicted model, not a curated record
CCCUCUCCCCAGAGAGGGGACAGAUAGGGCGGCGGGAGAGGGGUUAAGAUAAGGACUUCAAGAGCGAGUUUCUCCUCCCCACGUUGGGACGCUGGCCCUGGGUUCCCGACCCUCUGCGGGCGCGCAUCUCGGGCCGUCGCAGGCGGGAGGGUGGGAUGGGGCCUCGGGCGGCGCGCGCCGCGGUUCCCACCGGCUACAUGCACAUCCCUGCCCCACGAGAGCCCCGGGUGGGGACCGGGACGGGCUGGGCUGGGCUGCGUCCGCGGGCCUGACUUCGGGCUCGGCCCGCGGUGCUCCCGGGACGGUCACCGCGAGCAGAGGCCCCGCGGCCUGGGGACCCGGCUGGCGCGGGCGCGGGUGGACCUCCCGGCCGGCAGGGGGCGCGAGGCGGGGAUGCUGGCCCCGAGGGGUCCACGGAUUUUGAGAACAUUAAAUUCGACUUCUUUUAUGCUUUUCAGUGACCCACGCUGGUAAAACUCAAACAGGGCAGAAGCAUUAAAAUAACCACCGUCGUCCCACAGCCUUGCCUCGCGAAGGAAUCCCGGCCUCCAGUUCGGGAGCAUCUUCCCAGGCCUCCUCCAGAACAUUCGCUCACACACGGAUACUCAGGCUCGCAGACGUAUACGGACGCACACGCAUAUGUACGCAGACACACGUGCACCCAGACUCACAGGAACACGCGGACACGUGGGAACACUGAUUACGUAAAGAGCAUUCCCCCUCCUCAGCUUCCUCUGUCUGUGGACCAGCUCCGCGCACCAGCUCUGAAGGUGUUUCCAUUGGGUGAAGGCACUUGGUGGCCUUGCACGCUGCACGAGUUCUGAGCUUCAGAAUGUGUCACUGCAGGCUGUUGGGUUCAGGAGCCAGUCUCACACAGGUGAAUCCCGACAGGACCCACAGACAGAUGAGGACGGAGACAGGAGGAGACUGAGUCUGCAGUGUGCCAACCCUGGGCUGCCCCUGUGCUUGGCUGCCACACUGUCUCACCUGGGUCUGGGCUGAGGACCUGGCCCUGGAGACCAAGGACAUUCCAGAGCUUUGGUUUGGAAUCCUCAGUUCCGUGGACGUGGAUGUCCUCGUGGAGUGUGCACGAGCCAGACAGGCCUGGGCUGGAGCUCGUGCCUCUGCUCUCUGCGAGUCUGUUUCCCCAUGGUCAGAUGGGAGAGUGAGGGCUCCCAGCUUGCAGAAGGGCAGGAACUGGUGCUGUUGACCCGGGGUGGCACUGGCAUGAUCUGGAGAAGAACCUGGCUUCUGGUUUGGGGUUGGCCCCCACCCGUGAGGCUGGUACCUGUUUUGUCUGUGGACAAGUUAUGCUGUGAGAUUGUCUUUGCCAAUAAUUUAUUUAACACAAGUUCACUGGGAUUAUAACAAUUUCACAAGCCAGUAGCAUACAGGAUAAUGUCUCUUAAUAAGGCAAUAAAGAAAUAAAAAGGGGCUGGCCCUGCGGCCUAGUGGUUAAGUUUGGCACGCUCCACUUCGGCAGUCUGGGUUUGGUUCCUGGGCACAGACCUACACCACUUGUCAGCAGCCACACUGUGGCAGCAGCUCGCUCACAAAAUCGAGGAAGAUUGGCACAGAUGUUACCUUAGGGCAAAUCUUCCUCAGCAAAAAAAGAAAAAGAAAGAAAUUGUAUACUCCAAACCAAUGAUCGACUAAUUACACUCUUGUUCCAGGCAAAGGGGAGAGGAAAGAAAUAAAGUCCAAAUUUACUUGAGGUGUCCCUUUCUCUGAGCUGAUUCUUGGACAAGUCGACUUAGAGCUGACAUCCAGCUGCCAUUGCAAAGUUCCAGCUGUUCCCUGGCCACAGUCGCUCUGCCACGGUUCUUGUGGAGAAGACCCCAGCAGCGCCUGUCACCUGCGCUCCUGCGUGCUUACAGACAACAAAUGACGAAUGUCAACGACGGCUUCCUGGCACGGCUUCCUCGGCGUGGACAACCUCAGAUGGGGCAGCUCCACUCUUGUCCUACAUAAGUGGGCUUGAAGUCGCGUCAAACCGAGACACAGCAGCCCCGCGUCCCAUGCUGCAGACAUCCACACCCGACUGGGGUGGUUUGUGUGCCGCAUGCGGUUGGAAUUCCUCCCCAGAAACAGGGCAGACUUCUCCAACCGGUUUUUAUUUUGUCCUUAAGCCACAUAUUUGAAAAUUGCUUAAUCAAAGAGGGUCAUGAACUAAAUCUCAGGCCUGGCUCUGGGGCCCCAGGAGGGGAGUUCGUGAACGUGGGCAUCACUGGGCAGCUGAUGGCUCCCUCCGGGUCCUGUGCACGCCCUGUCUCGGUGGACUGGGUCUCCCACCUGGCCACGGCCAUUGAUUGAGGGCCUACUAUGUGCCAGGCAAGGUCUUGGGUGUUUCCCACAAACGCUCUUGCGCACAACCACCCUGGGAAGGAGGGUGGCUACCCCCACUUUGCAAGUGAGGAAGCUAAAGCUCAGAGAUGAAGUGGCUUGCCCUAGUUCACGCAGCGGGUGAGAGGCAGAGCUGGGAUGUCAGAUGCCAGAUCCCACAUCCUCUGUCUGUGUCCAGAGGCUGUCUGCCCCUCGGGCAGGACGGGAAGACCAAGACCACAGACGUAGUGACCUGUGUCACUGGGAGAGAGCGGAAGAGAGAUGAGCCUCUGGCUCAGGCAGACAAAUCAGGGAAGCUUCUGGGAGGUGGCCCUCGGCCUUGGCAUGAGGGAUCUAGAGAGAGAUGGGAAGGCAUGCAGGAUAAGAGAUUUGUGAAUACAGGGAGGCAGUGGGAGCGAUUGUGGGAUGUGGCUGGAGGAGCGCACUCAGGCAGAUGGGCCAGUGCUGGCCUGGUCUGGGCUCACUGGGACAGACCGGGGGCAGACUGUCCUGGGAGAGAGGCCAGCGUGGGCUGGGCGUGAGGGCCUGCGCCACCAUCUUCCUGCGCACAGCGUCACCGGUGAGAAGUCUGUGGCCAGGCUGACUUGUUCUUUUGGAGGAGAUGCCAUCACCAGCCUCCCUGACCACAGCAAGCCUCACCACGAGAGGCCUUGUUGUUAAUGCUAAGGUCUCUCCAGGAGGAGCUUAGGCCUCUUAUCGUAACCUGAAGUGUACGUGGAAGCGUGUUUUCCAACUGAGCCUGCGCAAGAGGAUACCCACCUCUCCCUUUUGAAUAUUCAUCCCCCAUCCCAAAUAAAUGUCCCUGCUUCCCGUUGUCUGGGGACGCCAUGACUCUGGAGAUGAUAGACAACUACUUCUGGCGGAGAGUCUGAUUUAACUCGCUAGGAGGGACCCCCUUCGGUUUCGGUAACAGUUCCUUUUACUGGAGAAGGGCUUUCUCCAGGGAGAAAUCCAGAUUGCAUGUGACCACAGCUACUGGAUGUGCCUGCUUUCAGGUGCUCUCAGGGGACAAAGCAAGGAGUUAGAUGUGUGUCUGGUAACCCCUGUGUGUACACAUCUGCAACUGUUGAUGAUGAGGAUCAAGGCUGCCCCAGGGAGAAGCCCAAGGUGACCUGCCCUACAUACCCAUCUAUAUCAUCCUCCGGAAACACAGGAUGUCCUGACCUGAUCCGAUCUGAUCCUUAUCUAAAGUUAUAGGACCCCCCAAUAACCGGACCCCACCUACACUGACACCAUUUUAAUGACUUUUUUACAUGAUCUUUCCUUUGUCUUGUAAAGAAAUAACUCACAUACCUAUGCCUUAUAAAUUUAGCUUUAACCGUCAACACAUUGCAGCUCUUACUGCCCAUGGGUCCUGUCCCCAUGCUACCCCAUGCUGUGCUCUGAAUAAAACAACACUAGUGCCAGACCUUGAGAGUCCAAGAAAGCUUUCUUUCUGCUCCUCGGCUCACUGAGCCCGCGUCGUUUCUACAUGUAACUCUUUGUAUCUAUAUCAAGGCAAACAUAAGUUUAUAUUGAUCUCUUCCACUCGAAUCCAUUACCACAGGGAACAUUGUAGCCUCUUCCCCUUGCUUAUCUGUAAUCUCCCGCUGCAACAGUCGGAAACCUGCCUUCCACCAUCUGCUACUUGUUUACCCACUUCUUCAAUUGCGGCACACGCGCAGUGGUUGCAGAAUUGUGAACUCGUGCUCCUGCGGGAAACAACCUUAUCAACUAGAGUAAGUCCUUUUGCCUUUGGUCCUGUAGCCUCUACUCAUUUCCAAAGUUACUUAGGUCAGCGCCUCAUUCUCCCCUGCUCCUCAGUGAGGUUGUUUCCUACGUUUCUAACACAAUUAGAUUCUUUUC